This 380-nucleotide ribosomal RNA is filed under the name uncultured cyanobacterium. RNAcentral describes it as "bacterial SSU rRNA". It matches the Rfam family "Bacterial small subunit ribosomal RNA", at positions 376 to 770 of the family's 1533-position model. Lineage: Bacteria; Bacillati; Cyanobacteriota. The record is from RNAcentral.
CGAAAGCCUGACGGAGCAACGCCGCGUGAGGGAAGAAGGUCUUUGGAUUGUAAACCUCUUUUCUCAAGGAAGAAGUCAGUGACGGUACUUUAGGAAUCAGCAUCGGCUAACUCCGUGCCAGCAGCCGCGGUAAUACGUGGGAUGCAAGCGUUAUCCGGAAUUAUUGGGCGUAAAGCGUUCGUAGGCGGUUUUAUAAGUCUGCUGUCAAAGUGCGGAGCUCAACUCCGUAAGAGCAGUGGAAACUGUGAGACUUGAGUGUGGUAGGGGUAGAGGGAAUUCCCAGUGUAGCGGUGAAAUGCGUAGAUAUUGGGAAGAACACCGGUGGCGAAAGCGCUCUACUGGGCCAUAACUGACGCUGAGGGACGAAAGCUAGGGGAGCG